GUGCUCACUUUGGCAGCACAUAUACUAAAGUUGGAAUGUACAGAGAAGAAUAGCAUGGCCCCUGGGCAAGGAUGACAUGCAAAUUCACAAAGAGUUCCAUAUUAAG
This 106-nucleotide small nuclear RNA is filed under the name Jaculus jaculus (lesser Egyptian jerboa). Lineage: Eukaryota; Metazoa; Chordata; Mammalia; Rodentia; Dipodidae. The record is from RNAcentral.